This 446-nucleotide ribosomal RNA is filed under the name uncultured bacterium. RNAcentral describes it as "bacterial SSU rRNA". It matches the Rfam family "Bacterial small subunit ribosomal RNA", at positions 217 to 662 of the family's 1533-position model. The record is from RNAcentral.
GGUAUGGGAUGAGCUUGCGUCCGAUUAGCUAGUUGGCGGGGCAACGGCCCACCAAGGCGACGAUCGGUAGCCGGCCUGAGAGGGUGAUCGGCCACAUUGGGACUGAGAUACGGCCCAGACUCCUACGGGAGGCAGCAGUAGGGAAUAUUGCACAAUGAGGGAAACCCUGAUGCAGCAACGCCACGUGUGGGAAGAAGCAUUUCGGUGUGUAAACCACUGUCAUGAGGGAAUAAGGCCCGCCUUCGGACGGGAUUGAAUGUACCUUGAGAGGAAGCACCGGCAAACUUCGUGCCAGCAGCCGCGGUAAUACGAGGGGUGCAAGCGUUGUUCGGAAUUACUGGGCGUAAAGGGAGCGUAGGCGGAGAUUCAAGCGGAUUGUACAAUCCCGGGGCCCAACCCCGGCUCUGCAGUCCGAACUGGAUCUCUUGGAUAGUUCAGGGGCAGGC